This 404-nucleotide ribosomal RNA is filed under the name Verrucomicrobiota bacterium. RNAcentral describes it as "Verrucomicrobia bacterium partial 16S ribosomal RNA". It matches the Rfam family "Bacterial small subunit ribosomal RNA", at positions 355 to 776 of the family's 1533-position model. The record is from RNAcentral. Lineage: Bacteria; Pseudomonadati; Verrucomicrobiota.
UGGGGAAUAUUGCACAAUGGAGGGAACUCUGAUGCAGCGACGCCGCGUGAGUGAAGAAGUCUUUCGGUAUGUAAAGCUCUAUCAGUAGGGAAGAUAAUGACGGUACCUACAUAAGAAGCCCCGGCUAAAUACGUGCCAGCAGCCGCGGUAAUACGUAUGGGGCAAGCGUUAUCCGGAUUUACUGGGUGUAAAGGGAGCGUAGGCGGCAGUACAAGUCGGGAGUGAAAACUCGGGGCUCAACCCCGAGACUGCUCUCGAAACUGUACAGCUAGAGUGCAGGAAGGGCAGGCGGAAUUCCUGGUGUAGCGGUGAAAUGCGUAGAUAUCAGGAGGAACACCGGUGGCGAAGGCGGCCUGCUGGACUGUAACUGACGCUGAGGCUCGAAAGCGUGGGGAGCGAACAGG